GGGGUGACACUGCCGAAAGUCUUCGCCUGGGUGGGGAUGAUGGAGCCGCAGAAUCCGAGCCAAGACGCCGUGUCUUACUUGGCCUCCUGGAAUAUGUGACUACAGUGAAGACUUACCUGCAAUCCCAGCCUCAUCCUGACUUGUCUGAGGCCUGUCUGGGCGGCUGGUCUGUGUGACUGUUGAAAAAUUGACCCAAACAUUAUUACCAUGCUUUGUGUAAAAACAACCACUGCAAAGCAUUAUUGUACUGUAACCAUCUAUUAGGUAUUGUUUAAACAAAUUAUUUAAGCUUAAGAGCUUCUAGCUUCAUGAUUUUGAGUUGAAUAUCCAAAUGUACAUGAUGUGGCACACAAUAAAUAUGUUACAUUUUUGAAUUUUGA
Pseudophryne corroboree (corroboree frog) is the source of this 380-nucleotide long non-coding RNA. RefSeq lists it as uncharacterized. The record is from RefSeq and is a predicted model, not a curated record. The transcript is spliced from 2 exons. Lineage: Eukaryota; Metazoa; Chordata; Amphibia; Anura; Myobatrachidae.